Molecule: non-coding RNA, 213 nt
Organism: Schizosaccharomyces pombe (fission yeast)
Lineage: Eukaryota; Fungi; Ascomycota; Schizosaccharomycetes; Schizosaccharomycetales; Schizosaccharomycetaceae
Source: the annotation of a GenBank genome assembly
AAUGGCAUCAUCGUCAGCACUGUGAUAGGGAAGGUAUGCCAAAACAACCGAGGGGCCCUUAAAUUUAUCUGCUUCUAAAAGUGCCGAGAUUAGUUGGGUGUAUGAACUAUACAACGCAGUAGAGGCGACAUAUGCAUUGCCAAAGUUCAUGGCAUACAAUCCAAUAUCCUUCUUUCUGGAAGAGGAUCGGACGGCUUCACGAGUAGAGUAAGG